Molecule: ribosomal RNA, 266 nt
Filed under: uncultured bacterium
Lineage: Bacteria
Description: partial 16S ribosomal RNA
Rfam family: Bacterial small subunit ribosomal RNA
Source: RNAcentral
GAUGAACGCUAGCGGCAGGCCUAAUACAUGCAAGUCGUACGGCAACACAGUUGCGAGCAAUCGCAACCGGUGGCGAGUGGCGCACGGGUGAGUAACACGUGGGUAACCUGCCCAUAAGAGGGGGAUAACAUCCGGAAACGGGUGCUAAUACCGCAUAGGUUUCUUGGUCGCAUGAUCGAGAAAGGAAGACGGCCUUUGNGCUGUCGCUUAUGGAUGGACCCCGCGGCGUAUUAGUUAGUUGGUGAGGUAAUGGCUCACCAAGACGA